RNAcentral lists this ribosomal RNA (422 nucleotides) under uncultured bacterium. RNAcentral's name for it is "partial 16S ribosomal RNA". It matches the Rfam family "Bacterial small subunit ribosomal RNA", at positions 355 to 769 of the family's 1533-position model. The record is from RNAcentral.
UGGGGAAUAUUGCACAAUGGGCGCAAGCCUGAUGCAGCCAUGCCGCGUGUGUGAAGAAGGCCUUCGGGUUGUAAAGCACUUUCAGCGAGGAGGAAGGUGGUGAGCUUAAUACGCUCAUCAAUUGACGUUACUCGCAGAAGAAGCACCGGCUAACUCCGUGCCAGCAGCCGCGGUAAUACGGAGGGUGCAAGCGUUAAUCGGAAUUACUGGGCGUAAAGCGCACGCAGGCGGUUUGUUAAGUCAGAUGUGAAAUCCCCGGGCUCAACCUGGAACUGCAUUGAACUGGCAAGCUAGAGUCUCGUAGAGGGGGGCUAGAAUUCCAGGUGUAGCGGUGAAAUGCGUAGAGAUCUGGAGGAAUACCGGUGGCGAAGGCGGCCCCCUGGACGAAGACUGACGCUCAGGUGCGAAAGGCGUGGGGCAGC